AGGCCCUUCAUGAUUUAACUGCAGCCAAAUUUGCAGGCUCCCCGGUGUUCCAGCAUGACCGUGACCAGGACGAUGCCCACCACCUUGUAUCCUUCCGCCAACACGGGCUGUGACCCAGGGCUGCGUUUUCUUUACCCGCCCGAGGCCCUCUGCCGGGAGCCUGCCUCGGCUCCAUCCUGGUCUCCCAGGCACCAGCGUCCCGCGCAAGUGAAGUUCGCGGCUCCCUUCUGUGUUUCCAUGCUUGAUGUUCAUCCCUUUACCGGGACAUUUAGCAAGAUUUAUGUGUUCUUCUGUGUGCAGAAUGUGGCAGGCUGCUGAUUUCCUACAGGAUCCAUUCCCCCUCCUGUUUUUAAAGUACUACACGGGCGCCUGGGUGGCUCAGUCGUUAGGCGUCUGCUUUCGGCUCAGGUCGUGGUUCCAGGGUCCUGAGAUCGAGCCCCGCGUCGGGCUCCCUGCUCUACAGGGAGUCUCCUUCUCCCUCUCCCACUCCCCCUGCUUGUGUUCCCUCUCUCGCUGUGUCUCUCUCUGUCAAAUAAAUAAAUAAAAUCUUAAAAAAAAAAAGAGUGAAAUACAUUUCUAGCUUCUGUUCUGGUGUUACUUUGUUUCAGAAGUUAUGUCUGUACAUUCUAGAGUAUAGGAUCCCUCAGUGAAUUAGGAAUUGGGAUACGAGCUUCUUGCCACCAGCUGGGCCGCCACACGAGCAGUAUGUCACUGAGCAAGGUCUUGUGCCUUGAUUUACUCUUCUCCAAAAAGAGGGUCUUUCAGCACCAUGAGGUAAUGACUAUCACUUACAUGUUUGGCAUAAGGCUUUACUCUUAUCACAGAGUAGUUUUUCUCUUAAAAGAAAUGUCUCAUGGGGCACCUGGGUGGCUCAGUCGGUUAAGCAUCUGCCUUCAUCUCGAGUCGUGAUCCCAGGGUCGAGCCCCGCGUCGGGCUCCCUGCUCAGCAAGCAGCCUGCUUCUCGCUCUCGCUCGGCCUGCUGUUCCCCACGCUUGUGCUUUCUCCCUCUGAGCACAAAAUAACAUCUUAAAAAAAAAAGAGAGAGAGAGAGAGAAAGAAAUAUUUCAGGCUCCAGGGAUGGGAGACGGCGAUAGGCUUGGGACUAAGCCAUCGAG
This 1115-nucleotide long non-coding RNA is filed under the name Zalophus californianus (California sea lion). Its description in RNAcentral is "lncRNA (ENSZCAG00015006973.1)". Lineage: Eukaryota; Metazoa; Chordata; Mammalia; Carnivora; Otariidae. The record is from RNAcentral.